Molecule: non-coding RNA, 24 nt
Filed under: Arabidopsis thaliana (thale cress)
Lineage: Eukaryota; Viridiplantae; Streptophyta; Magnoliopsida; Brassicales; Brassicaceae
Source: RNAcentral
GUAGAGGGAAACGCGGUCGAGUGG